AGCCGCCUAGGGUAAAACCGGUAAUUGGGGCUAAGUCGUAACAAGGUAGCCGUAUCGGAAGGUGCGGCUGGAAUACCUCCUUUUUAGAGCUCAUU
This 95-nucleotide ribosomal RNA is filed under the name Chitinophaga varians. RNAcentral describes it as "partial 16S ribosomal RNA". The stretch from base 1 to 83 matches the Rfam family "Bacterial small subunit ribosomal RNA", at positions 1451 to 1533 of the family's 1533-position model. The record is from RNAcentral. Lineage: Bacteria; Pseudomonadati; Bacteroidota; Chitinophagia; Chitinophagales; Chitinophagaceae.